This is a microRNA precursor of Brassica oleracea var. oleracea, 122 nucleotides long. It matches the Rfam family "MIR9563 microRNA precursor family". The record is from Rfam. Lineage: Eukaryota; Viridiplantae; Streptophyta; Magnoliopsida; Brassicales; Brassicaceae.
GGAAUAAGAAACUGUUUCUUAACUUUUAACUAAAAAAGCUAAGAACCAGUUUUUAAAUCGGUUCUUAAAACCGGUUCUUAGCUUUUUUUAGUUAAAAGUUAAGAAACAGUUUCUUAACUUCC